RNAcentral lists this ribosomal RNA (706 nucleotides) under uncultured bacterium. RNAcentral describes it as "bacterial SSU rRNA". It matches the Rfam family "Bacterial small subunit ribosomal RNA", at positions 173 to 883 of the family's 1533-position model. The record is from RNAcentral.
GGCAUAGUUUUCCCGCAUGGGAUAAUUAUUAAAGAAUUUCGGUUGUCGAUGGGGAUGCGUUCCAUUAGGCAGUUGGCGGGGUAACGGCCCACCAAACCAACGAUGGAUAGGGGUUCUGAGAGGAAGGUCCCCCACAUUGGAACUGAGACACGGUCCAAACUCCUACGGGAGGCAGCAGUGAGGAAUAUUGGUCAAUGGACGAGAGUCUGAACCAGCCAAGUAGCGUGAAGGAUGACUGCCCUAUGGGUUGUAAACUUCUUUUGUACGGGAAUAAAGUGAGCCACGUGUGGCUUUUUGUAUGUACCGUAUGAAUAAGGAUCGGCUAACUCCGUGCCAGCAGCCGCGGUAAUACGGAGGAUCCGAGCGUUAUCCGGAUUUAUUGGGUUUAAAGGGAGCGUAGGCGGGUUGUUAAGUCAGUUGUGAAAGUUUGCGGCUCAACCGUAAAAUUGCAGUUGAUACUGGCGACCUUGAGUGCAACAGAGGUAGGCGGAAUUCGUGGUGUAGCGGUGAAAUGCUUAGAUAUCACGAAGAACUCCGAUUGCGAAGGCAGCUUACUGGAUUGUAACUGACGCUGAUGCUCGAAAGUGUGGGUAUCAAACAGGAUUAGAUACCCUGGUAGUCCACACAGUAAACGAUGAAUACUCGCUGUUGGCGAUAUACAGUCAGCGGCCAAGCGAAAGCAUUAAGUAUUCCACCUGGGGAGUAC